Sus scrofa (pig) is the source of this 736-nucleotide long non-coding RNA. RefSeq lists it as uncharacterized. Lineage: Eukaryota; Metazoa; Chordata; Mammalia; Artiodactyla; Suidae. The record is from RefSeq and is a predicted model, not a curated record.
GUGACCCAGUGGGGAGUGUGGAUGGACAGUGGUGUUAUUUUACUUAAUAAGGGCCCAAAGCGUGAGUAGUGACGCUGGCAAUUCUGAUACACUGAAGAGAAGCUGUAAAGUGCCUCCUUUAAGUGAAAAGGGACAAGUUCUCGGCUUAAUACGGAGAGAAAAAAUUGUAUGAGGAGCUUGCUAAGGCCUAUGGGUACCUAAUACACUGUGAUCUCCUGUGGAGAGAAGCUGGCUGUUGGACUUUAAGGAGGUUUCUAAUACCGAACAGGAUCACUGACAGCCAUCUGUGCCUGGCCCCAGGCAUGGAAUCUCCUAGGAUAUGUCUACACUCACCUGUCGGCACCAUGGGUUUUGGCUGCUAAUAUCAUUUGAACACUUUGCAUUGAAAGAAAUAAGAUAAAAAAGGCUUAUGGAGACAUAGGAAAUAAUGCAAAUCGAAACACAAAAUCAAUCUGUGGCUUGCAGAUAAUUUUUAAACAAGAACCAGAAAAAUCUCAAUCACCUACAGAAAAGUAAGUGGAUUCUUUCUUCUUUGAAAGUGUACUCCCUGACUCUCAGAAGCCCACUGUCUAUAUCCAGCAGACUAGGGGCAUUUCACCUCUGCGUUGGUGAGUCACAGGAACUAGAGAGAGACUAGCAACAUUGUCAUCCCCUGAGAACUUGUGAGAAAUGAAGGAUUUCAGAUCCUGCCUAGUCCUACUUAAUCAGAAUGUGCAUUUGAAUAAGAUCUACAGGU